CUUGUACUCAGUUAAGCAUCCAUCAAAAGGAACUGAAAAAGAAUCUGGAAGUGAUAAUGAAUGCGUAAAAGAAACAAACAUGCUCCUUCGUGAAGUUCAUCGGGCAAUCUUCGAUGAGCAAGUAUUUGAUAUGGUGAACCGUGAAGCCUUCAACCAAUCUUUAGGAGUCAAUGUGACUGGAAUUCAAGAAAAUUAUCUACAACUAAGCAUAAGUCCAGGAACUUCUGUGUUCAUAUCCCUUGA
This 243-nucleotide unclassified non-coding RNA is filed under the name Hevea brasiliensis (rubber tree). The record is from RNAcentral. Lineage: Eukaryota; Viridiplantae; Streptophyta; Magnoliopsida; Malpighiales; Euphorbiaceae.